This 238-nucleotide long non-coding RNA is filed under the name Brassica napus (rape). Its description in RNAcentral is "long non-coding RNA (BNAP_LNC006868)". Lineage: Eukaryota; Viridiplantae; Streptophyta; Magnoliopsida; Brassicales; Brassicaceae. The record is from RNAcentral.
UUUAACCUCAAUCUAUUCUUUCCAUUCCAAAACCCAAAUUCUAAAACCACAAUUCCUUAACUUAUAAUCUCAAUCUCUUAUUUCUAAUACAAAUUCCCAUUAUAUACACAAAAUCAAAUAAUAUAAAUAGUUUUUCAUGAUUAAAUCCAUCAAAUCACAUGCAUUAAGUUACGAGGAAAUAGCAAGGCCCGUGUUUUUAUUUUAUGAGGAAAUAGAAAGGCCCGCGAUUUCCGGUUAC